UUCCGUAUAUAUAUUCGUACAUCGCGUUUUUAAUUCCAUAGAAGGACAUUAUCGCAGUCGAUACAUUUUUUUUAACAAUUUACUACUAAAGAACAAAAUGAAAUUUAUUUUCUCCUUUUUAGUCAUAUUGCUGGUUACACUGGCGGUCCAAAACUGCGAAUCGCUAAGGAUAUGUGAUUGUCCACGAGAAGGAUACGAGUGUACGCAUGAAUGGCGCCCUGUAUGUGGACUAAAAGAUGGAAGAGAGUGUACUUUUAGCAAUUUGUGCAACCUAGGCGAUUGUGAAUAUUUAUACGAUGGAGAAUGCGGAGAACGUAAUAUAUAAAGAUACUUGUGAACAAGUAUCGGCGCAACUGUACUUAACUACCAGAUAGUGUCCCAUUGAAAAAGUUGCAUGUACAUGAACGCCAUGAUUAUUUUAUAUUUUGAUAAUAAAACCGUUUUCCAAAAGUGUUUUAC
This is a long non-coding RNA of Hyposmocoma kahamanoa, 459 nucleotides long. RefSeq lists it as uncharacterized. The transcript has 3 exons. NCBI's taxonomy places the organism in Eukaryota, Metazoa, Arthropoda, Insecta, Lepidoptera, Cosmopterigidae. The record is from RefSeq and is a predicted model, not a curated record.